CCUACGGGAGGCAGCAGUGAGGAAUAUUGGUCAAUGGCCGGAAGGCUGAACCAGCCAUGCCGCGUGAGGGAAGACUGCCCUAUGGGUUGUAAACCUCUUUUGUCAGGGAGCAACGCCGGCUACGUGUAGCCGGACUGAGAGUACCUGAAGAAAAAGCAUCGGCUAACUCCGUGCCAGCAGCCGCGGUCAUACGGAGGAUGCGAGCGUUAUCCGGAUUUAUUGGGUUUAAAGGGUGCGUAGGCGGAAUGCCAAGUCAGCGGGAAAAUCGCGGGGCUCAACCUCGCUCCGCCGUUGAAACUGGCGUUCUUGAGUGGGCGAGAAGUAUGCGGAAUGCGUGGUGUAGCGGUGAAAUGCAUAGAUAUCACGCAGAACUCCGAUUGCGAAGGCAGCAUACCGGCGCCCAACUGACGCUGAAGCACGAAAGCGUGGGUAUCGAACAGGAUUAGAUACCCUUGUAGUC
Molecule: ribosomal RNA, 460 nt
Filed under: uncultured bacterium
Lineage: Bacteria
Description: partial 16S ribosomal RNA
Rfam family: Bacterial small subunit ribosomal RNA
Source: RNAcentral